RNAcentral lists this ribosomal RNA (477 nucleotides) under uncultured bacterium. Its description in RNAcentral is "partial 16S ribosomal RNA". It matches the Rfam family "Bacterial small subunit ribosomal RNA", at positions 28 to 507 of the family's 1533-position model. The record is from RNAcentral.
GAUUAACGCUGGCGGCGUGCCUAACACAUGCAAGUCGAACGAUGAAGAUUAUUAGACUUCUUCGGAAUGAAAAUAAUUGGAUUAGUGGCGGACGGGUGAGUAACGCGUGAGUAACCUGCCUUACACAAGGGGAUAGCCGUUGGAAACGACGAAUAAUACCCUAUGAAACUAUCACUUCGCAUGAAGCGAUAGUCAAAGUGUUAGCGGUGUAAGAUGGACUUGCGUCUGAUUAGCUAGUUGGUGAGAAAAAAGCCCACCAAGGCAACGAUCAGUAGCCGGCUUGAGAGAGUGUACGGCCACAUUGGGACUGAGACACGGCCCAGACCCCUACGGGAGGCAGCAGUGGGGAAUUUUGCACAAUGGGGGAAACCCUGAUGCAGCGACGCCGCGUGAUUUAGAAGGCCUUCGGGUUGUAAAAAUCUUUUGUAUAGGAAGAAAAUGACAGUACUAUACGAAUAAGGUCCGGCUAAUUACGUG